This 496-nucleotide ribosomal RNA is filed under the name uncultured bacterium. Its description in RNAcentral is "partial 16S ribosomal RNA". It matches the Rfam family "Bacterial small subunit ribosomal RNA", at positions 29 to 507 of the family's 1533-position model. The record is from RNAcentral.
AUGCACGCUGGCGGCGUGCCUAAUACAUGCCAGUCGAGCGAACGGACGAGAAGCUUGCUUCUCUGAUGUUAGCGGCGGACGGGUGAGUAACACGUGGAUAACCUACCUAUAAGACUGGGAUAACUUCGGGAAACCGGAGCUAAUACCGGAUGAUAUUUUGAACCGCAUGGUUCAAAAGUGAAAGACGGUCUUGCUGUCACUUAUAGAUGGAUCCGCGCUGCAUUAGCUAGUUGGUAAGGUAACGGCUUACCAAGGCAACGAUGCAUAGCCGACCUGAGAGGGUGAUCGGCCACACUGGAACUGAGACACGGUCCAGACUCCUACGGGAGGCAGCAGUAGGGAAUCUUCCGCAAAGGGCGAAAGCCUGACGGAGCAACGCCGCGUGAGUGAUGAAGGUCUUCGGAUCGUAAAACUCUGUUAUUAGGGAAGAACAUAUGUGUAAGUAACUGUGCACAUCUUGACGGUACCUAAUCAGAAAGCCACGGCUAACUACGUG